Cercocebus atys (sooty mangabey) is the source of this 137-nucleotide small nucleolar RNA. The record is from Ensembl. Lineage: Eukaryota; Metazoa; Chordata; Mammalia; Primates; Cercopithecidae.
GGGCAUACUAGUAGACCUUGCCUGACUGUGCUCAUGGCCAGGCAGGGGGGACAGUGUAUGCAAGAAUAAUUUGGAGUUCCUGCCAGCUCUAACCAGCUUCAUCAGUGGCUGGAUAAAUUGCAGGACUCUAAACAUUU